AGUGAACGCUGGCGGUAGGCCUAACACAUGCAAGUCGAACGGCAGCACAGUAAGAGCUUGCUCUUACGGGUGGCGAGUGGCGGACGGGUGAGGAAUACAUCGGAAUCUACUUUUUCGUGGGGGAUAACGUAGGGAAACUUACGCUAAUACCGCAUACGACCUACGGGUGAAAGCAGGGGAUCUUCGGACCUUGCGCGAUUGAAUGAGCCGAUGUCGGAUUAGCUAGUUGGCGGGGUAAAGGCCCACCAAGGCGACGAUCCGUAGCUGGUCUGAGAGGAUGAUCAGCGACACUAGAACUGAGACACGGUCCAGACUCCUACGGGAGGCAGCAGUGGGGAAUAUUGGACAAUGGGCGCAAGCAUGAUCCAGCCAUACCGCGUGGGUGAAGAAGGCCUUCGGGUUGUAAAGCCCUUUUGUUGGGAAAGAAAAGCAGCAGGUUAAUACCCCGCUGUUCUGACGGUACCCAAAGAAUAAGCACCGGCUAACUUCGUG
RNAcentral lists this ribosomal RNA (492 nucleotides) under uncultured bacterium. RNAcentral describes it as "partial 16S ribosomal RNA". It matches the Rfam family "Bacterial small subunit ribosomal RNA", at positions 29 to 507 of the family's 1533-position model. The record is from RNAcentral.